GUGGGGAAUAUUGGACAAUGGGCGAAAGCCUGAUCCAGCCAUGCCGCGUGUGUGAAGAAGGUCUUCGGAUUGUAAAGCACUUUAAGUUGGGAGGAAGGGCAGUAAGUUAAUACCUUGCUGUUUUGACGUUACCGACAGAAUAAGCACCGGCUAACUUCGUGCCAGCAGCCGCGGUAAUACGAAGGGUGCAAGCGUUAAUCGGAAUUACUGGGCGUAAAGCGCGCGUAGGUGGUUUUGUAAGUUGGAGGUGAAAUCCCCGGGCUGAACCUUGGAACUGCCUCCAAAACUGCAUGACUAGAGUACGGUAGAGGGUAGUGGAAUUUCCUGUGUAGCGGUGAAAUGCGUAGAUAUAGGAAGGAACACCAGUGGCGAAGGCGACUACCUGGACUGAUACUGACACUGAGGUGCGAAAGCGUGGGGAGCAAACAGGAUUAGAAACCCGGGUAGUCC
This 450-nucleotide ribosomal RNA is filed under the name uncultured bacterium. RNAcentral's name for it is "partial 16S ribosomal RNA". It matches the Rfam family "Bacterial small subunit ribosomal RNA", at positions 354 to 796 of the family's 1533-position model. The record is from RNAcentral.